This is a long non-coding RNA of Anguilla anguilla (European eel), 846 nucleotides long. RefSeq lists it as uncharacterized. NCBI's taxonomy places the organism in Eukaryota, Metazoa, Chordata, Actinopteri, Anguilliformes, Anguillidae. The record is from RefSeq and is a predicted model, not a curated record. The transcript is spliced from 3 exons.
GAAAGUCAAAUCUUAAUCUUGCCUUUGCAUUCUUUGCCUCUGUCUUCUCUCUCUCUUCACCUGUGGCCAGGUCUUCACCCUGCUAAAAAAUGAUGACAAAACAUUAAGCCUAUGAGUUAAUGGACACCCUGUGCAAAUAUAAACUAACCACUUAUCAUAAUAUCAAAGAAAUGACCAGUGAAAUGAAUCAAAUAAUUUAACCCACUUUAAUAUCAAUGUAAAUAGUGCAGCAUCAUGUUAGGUACAAUGUCUGUAGUUUACAGGUUAUCUAUUUUCAUCUAAAUAUUUGGCGAGAGAUAUAACUGCAUAUUGUUUAGCAAUUAUUUUUUUAGAAACUACCAAAAUCACUAAAUGUGAAAAUAAAAACUCUACACAUGUGGCCAGCCCUUUGACCUUUGUUUAGGACGCGGUCAUAUUGAGAAGUUUACUCGCCUCUCCACUUCCUAUACUCGUCUCCUCUCGUUCUUUAAAUGUUCACAAUGUAUUCAGCCGUAUACAUAGUGCACAUACUGUGCAAUUUAUUAAUCAUCUCAACAUUAUUAAAAUAUCACAGAAAUAAUUAAUGUCAGUUUUACAUUUGUGGGCUAUUAAUCUACAGUCGUUUAAUUGAUAAUAGAUAUCCUUUAUCAAAUGAAAAAAAAUCCCUUGCAUCCUUAUCUCUCUUGGACAAACCAGAGAUCAUGUUACCUAUAUUGAGCAAAACAAAUGUAUGUAAAUAACUAAGUUCUGUUUGACUCUCCAUUGCAUUAGGGCUUAUGUUCUGGGAAGUAAACAUCAGUAAGUAACUUAAUGUUAGCCAGUGAAUCUGUUACAGUAUCAGAGACAGGAGACUGUAGUGUAAGAGUA